UACGUAGGGUGCAAGCGUUGUUCGGAAUUACUGGGCGUAAAGGGCUCGUAGGUGGCCAACUAAGUCGGACGUGAAAUCCCUCAGCUUAACUGGGGAACUGCGUCCGAUACUGGAUGGCUUGAGUUUGGGAGAGGGAUGCGGAAUUCCAGGUGUAGCGGUGAAAUGCGUAGAGAUCGGGAGGAACACCAGUGGCGAAGGCGGCUACCUGGACCAGCACUGACACUGAGGCACGAAAGCGUGGGGAGCAAACAGG
Molecule: ribosomal RNA, 253 nt
Filed under: uncultured bacterium
Lineage: Bacteria
Description: partial 16S ribosomal RNA
Rfam family: Bacterial small subunit ribosomal RNA
Source: RNAcentral